Doryrhamphus excisus (bluestripe pipefish) is the source of this 947-nucleotide long non-coding RNA. RefSeq lists it as uncharacterized. The record is from RefSeq and is a predicted model, not a curated record. Lineage: Eukaryota; Metazoa; Chordata; Actinopteri; Syngnathiformes; Syngnathidae.
AGUUGGCUUCUUCAGAGUGUGGCUUGACUCAUUUGCUGGUUUAUUGUGAAUGUUUGGUUGGCUUUGGACGAAUGUCCGCUUAUACGUUGUGAUGCUAGCUGCUACAAUAUCGAUUUUUCCCUUUUUGGAAGGAAGCUCGCCCUAUUUCAGUCCGGGUUCGAUAUCAUCUUCUUCGUCAUCGUCAUCCUGUUGUUUCUGCAAAGACACAGGGGGGGGGGGGUGGGGAAGGCAGCAGAGGCAAAGAAUGAACAAACGGUUUUGCGUCCGCCGCCGUGCUGAUUCAACAACCCUCGACCGUCAGCAGCCAGAGAAACCACACAGUGCCCACUGCUGGACAUUGUCAGAUCUGACUAAACGUUCCUGACAACCCUUGAAGGUCAGAUCUACCAAAGAAAAAGAACAAGCAAAGAACAAGAAUUAUCGUUAAAGGACAAUACCCAAGGAGAUCAAUAAGGGAUCAUACUUCAGCCAUCUGCAGUAGCUACAAUGAUCACAUUAGAUGUUAUAUGAUGCCCCCACAGCGAUGCAAAGCCAAUGUUUGUUCAAUGAACAAAGGAGGGACGGUCUGGUCAAUCAAUAGACAAAUAAAGAGAAACCUGGUAUUUCAGGCUCAGUGUGAGGUUGUAAAAAAAAAAAAACAAUAUCAGGCUAAAGCAGAAGGUAGUCAAAUAAGUAUAUCUUACCAACAGACGUGGUAACACACUAUUUAUCAACAUCCACCAAUGUAUAUGCUAAUCCCUCAGUUAUGGUUAAUUGAUAAGUGAUAAGUGAAGCAGUCAGAGCAUGUAGUGUACUUUAUGUUAACUAUUUUUGAUACCACCCCAAAAGAUCUCAUUAGGUCUGAUUAUGCAAAAAAAUAGUUUGAGUUUAUUGUAUUUUAUUCAACGAAAACAUAUAAGUGUCAAAGCCAGAUACUGGAUUAACUCAAACAGUUGUGGACAAACCAA